GUUAUGAAAGAAACAUAACACCAACUACGUUGGAUAAAAUUCUAGAUAGAAUACUGAUUAUGACUAUUUUCUAUCUACAUGUCUUGACCAAAUUACGUGCCAGCAGUCGCGGUAAUACGUAGAAGACUAGUGUUAUUCAUCUUUAAUAGGUUUAAAGGGUACCUAGACGGUAUUAUUAACCCAUAACAGGGAAAUAUUUUUACUAGAGUUUUAUAUAAGAAGGGAGUAUUUACGGAGUAGAGUUGAAAUUCUUUGAUACCCUAAGGACUGGUAAUGGCGAAAGCAUCCUUCUAUGUAAAAACUGACGUUAAGGGACGAAGGCUUGGGUAGCGAACAGGAUUAGAUACCCUAGUAGUCCAUGCAGAUAAUGAUGAAUGCCAUAGACUAGAUAUUUUUUAGUUUAUAAAUGAAAGUGUAAGCAUUCCACCUCAAGAGUACUGUGGCAACGCUGGAACUGAAAUCAUUAGACCGUUUCUGAGAACAGUAGUGAAGUAUGUUAUAUAAUUCGAUAGUCCUCGUAAAACCUUACCACAACUUGAAUGGUGUCCAGAGUUAAUGUAAUAUUCUUUGAAUAGCUGCCUAGUUAAUAUUAAAACUUUAUUUUGUUAGGUAGAUCUGAUCAAGAUAUUAUAUUGGGCUAACUCCAUUAUUAUAAUGGGCUGGCUCAUUGAAGGUCAUUAAAUAUUAUACUUCCUCCCCCCCCCUUCUUAGAGGAGGCCACUUCUCGACCGAAGGCGGAAGGCAAGAGGAGUAUAUAAUUACCUUUACUAACAGAGAUGUUACAAGUGUUGCACGGUUGUCUUCAGCUAAUGUCGUGAGAUUUUGGUUAGUUCCAUAAAAUUAGCGUAAACCCCGGUUUUAUUUUUUAAUUAUUAUGAUAAAGCAG
RNAcentral lists this ribosomal RNA (886 nucleotides) under Pseudographis pinicola. RNAcentral's name for it is "SSU rRNA". It matches the Rfam family "Bacterial small subunit ribosomal RNA", at positions 405 to 1138 of the family's 1533-position model. The record is from RNAcentral. Lineage: Eukaryota; Fungi; Ascomycota; Leotiomycetes; Triblidiales; Triblidiaceae.